UACGUAGGGUGCGAGCGUUGUCCGGAAUUACUGGGCGUAAAGCGUGCGCAGGCGGUUGUGCCAGACAGGUGUGAAAUCCCCGGGCUUAACCUGGGAACUGCACUUGUGACUGCACAGCUGGAGUGCGGCAGAGGGGGAUGGAAUUCCGCGUGUAGCAGUGAAAUGCGUAGAGAUGUGGAGGAACACCGAUGGCGAAGGCAGCCUUCUGGGCCAACACUGACGCUCAUGCACGAAAGCGUGGGGAGCAAACAGG
This 253-nucleotide ribosomal RNA is filed under the name uncultured bacterium. Its description in RNAcentral is "partial 16S ribosomal RNA". It matches the Rfam family "Bacterial small subunit ribosomal RNA", at positions 524 to 776 of the family's 1533-position model. The record is from RNAcentral.